UCGGGAAUUUUGGGCAAUGGGCGAAAGCCUGACCCAGCAACGCCGCGUGAAGGAUGAAGUAUUUCGGUAUGUAAACUUCGAAAGAAUAGGAAGAAUAAAUGACGGUACUAUUUAUAAGGUCCGGCUAACUACGUGCCAGCAGCCGCGGUAAUACGUAGGCAGCGAACGUUGUUCGGAGUUACUGGGCGUAAAGAGUGCGUAGGCGGUUCGCUAAGUCUGGUGUGAAAUCUCCCGGCUUAACUGGGAGGGUGCGCUAGAUACUGGCGGGCUUGAGUAUGGGAGAGGAAAGCGGAAUUCCUGGUGUAGCGGUGAAAUGCGUAGAUAUCAGGAGGAACACCGGUGGUGUAGACGGCUUUCUGGACCAUUACUGACGCUGAGGCACGAAAGCGUGGGGAGCAAACAGGAUUAGAUACCCCCGUAGUCCCUGAGCGGGCUGGCAAGGCGCAU
Molecule: ribosomal RNA, 447 nt
Filed under: uncultured bacterium
Lineage: Bacteria
Description: bacterial SSU rRNA
Rfam family: Bacterial small subunit ribosomal RNA
Source: RNAcentral